Long non-coding RNA from Juglans microcarpa x Juglans regia, 100 nucleotides. RefSeq lists it as uncharacterized. Lineage: Eukaryota; Viridiplantae; Streptophyta; Magnoliopsida; Fagales; Juglandaceae. The record is from RefSeq and is a predicted model, not a curated record. The transcript is spliced from 3 exons.
GAUGUUGGAGAAUCUGUAGAACAACCGCACUAGAUCUACGAUUUACCAACGAGGUAAUAUCGUUUCCGCUACGUAUUCUAAUCUACGAGUGGGGGCGGCG